CUCCUACGGGAGGCAGCAGUGAGGAAUAUUAGACAACGGAGGUAACUCUGAUCCAGCCAUGCCGCGCGCAGGAAGACGGUCCUACGGAUUGUAAAAUGCUUUUAUACAGGAAGAAAC
This 117-nucleotide ribosomal RNA is filed under the name uncultured bacterium. RNAcentral's name for it is "partial 16S ribosomal RNA". It matches the Rfam family "Bacterial small subunit ribosomal RNA", at positions 336 to 451 of the family's 1533-position model. The record is from RNAcentral.